ACAUAAGUAACGAUAAAGCGGGUGAAAAGCCCGCUCGCCGGAAGACCAAGGGUUCCUGUCCAACGUUAAUCGGGGCAGGGUGAGUCGACCCCUAAGGCGAGGCCGAAAGGCGUAGUCGAUGGGAAACGGGUUAAUAUUCCCGUACUUGGUGUUACUGCGAAGGGGGGACGGAGAAGGCUAUGUUGGCCGGGCGACGGUUGU
This 201-nucleotide ribosomal RNA is filed under the name Salmonella enterica subsp. enterica serovar Typhimurium. RNAcentral describes it as "partial 23S ribosomal RNA". It matches the Rfam family "Bacterial large subunit ribosomal RNA", at positions 1300 to 1505 of the family's 2925-position model. The record is from RNAcentral. Lineage: Bacteria; Pseudomonadati; Pseudomonadota; Gammaproteobacteria; Enterobacterales; Enterobacteriaceae.